RNAcentral lists this ribosomal RNA (1372 nucleotides) under uncultured bacterium. RNAcentral's name for it is "bacterial SSU rRNA". It matches the Rfam family "Bacterial small subunit ribosomal RNA", at positions 28 to 1381 of the family's 1533-position model. The record is from RNAcentral.
GAUGAACGCUGGCGGCGUGCCUAAUACAUGCAAGUCGAGCGAACGGACGAGAAGCUUGCUUCUCUGAUGUUAGCGGCGGACGGGUGAGUAACACGUGGAUAACCUACCUAUAAGACUGGGAUAACUUCGGGAAACCGGAGCUAAUACCGGAUAAUAUUUUGAACCGCAUGGUUCAAAAGUGAAAGACGGUCUUGCUGUCACUUAUAGAUGGAUCCGCGCUGCAUUAGCUAGUUGGUAAAGUAACGGCUUACCAAGGCAACGAUGCAUAGCCGACCUGAGAGGGUGAUCGGCCACACUGGAACUGAGACACGGUCCAGACUCCUACGGGAGGCAGCAGUAGGGAAUCUUCCGCAAUGGGCGAAAGCCUGACGGAGCAACGCCGCGUGAGUGAUGAAGGUCUUCGGAUCGUAAAACUCUGUUGUUAGGGAAGAACAUAUGUGUAAGUAACUGUGCACAUCUUGACGGUACCUAAUCAGAAAGCCACGGCUAACUACGUGCCAGCAGCCGCGGUAAUACGUAGGUGGCAAGCGUUAUCCGGAAUUAUUGGGCGUAAAGCGCGCGUAGGCGGUUUUUUAAGUCUGAUGUGAAAGCCCACGGCUCAACCGUGGAGGGUCAUUGGAAACUGGAAAACUUGAGUGCAGAAGAGGAAAGUGGAAUUCCAUGUGUAGCGGUGAAAUGCGCAGAGAUAUGGAGGAACACCAGUGGCGAAGGCGACUUUCUGGUCUGUAACUGACGCUGAUGUGCGAAAGCGUGGGGAUCAAACAGGAUUAGAUACCCUGGUAGUCCACGCCGUAAACGAUGAGUGCUAAGUGUUAGGGGGUUUCCGCCCCUUAGUGCUGCAGCUAACGCAUUAAGCACUCCGCCUGGGGAGUACGACCGCAAGGUUGAAACUCAAAGGAAUUGACGGGGACCCGCACAAGCGGUGGAGCAUGUGGUUUAAUUCGAAGCAACGCGAAGAACCUUACCAAAUCUUGACAUCCUUUGACAACUCUAGAGAUAGAGCCUUCCCCUUCGGGGGACAAAGUGACAGGUGGUGCAUGGUUGUCGUCAGCUCGUGUCGUGAGAUGUUGGGUUAAGUCCCGCAACGAGCGCAACCCUUAAGCUUAGUUGCCAUCAUUAAGUUGGGCACUCUAAGUUGACUGCCGGUGACAAACCGGAGGAAGGUGGGGAUGACGUCAAAUCAUCAAGCCCCUUAUGAUUUGGGCUACACACGUGCUACAAUGGACAAUACAAAGGGCAGCGAAACCGCGAGGUCAAGCAAAUCCCAUAAAGUUGUUCUCAGUUCGGAUUGUAGUCUGCAACUCGACUACAUGAAGCUGGAAUCGCUAGUAAUCGUAGAUCAGCAUGCUACGGUGAAUACGUUCCCGGGUCU